RNAcentral lists this long non-coding RNA (1019 nucleotides) under Olea europaea subsp. europaea. Lineage: Eukaryota; Viridiplantae; Streptophyta; Magnoliopsida; Lamiales; Oleaceae. The record is from RNAcentral.
GUUUUUCUUUCAAUGUUUAAGAUAAUUUUAACUUCUACAAAUUUAUCUGUCUUCAUAAUGCUUCUUGCAUUGUUCACAUCCUCUAUUCUUAUUUAUUCCCUAUAUAAAGAAUCGUUCGAAAUAUGCAUUUCCACCAUGAAUAAUUUUUUGCUCUUAUGAAAUCCCAGUUGAUAAUGGAAACCAAUUUCUCCGUCAAUGUGAUCUUGAUAUCUACAUUUUUGUUGAUCAGUUUUGCUUCUACAGCAACAAUAUUGGAAAAUAAAGAUACUAUGCUUUUGAAAUACCACAAAGGCUGACUUCUUAUUGGUAUGAUCACCGUUAAUCUCAACUGAUAUAGAAAUUUCAGGCCAUUCCAGAAAGCCAUAAUAUUUGAUUUCAUUGUCUCGCUAUCAUCUUCAAAAUCUGAGGCUCAACCUUCCAUUUCUACAUGGUGGGGAGCUAAACAGAAGUACUAUCACCUGAUCAAAUCCAAGAAAAUCAUCUUCCCUACAAAAUAUCUUAGGCAAUCAAAUCUCUUAUGAGAAUUGCUCACUAGGCAAAUCACUCACAAUGCAGCAGGUAAAACAAUUGGCAGCAAAAAGUGAUCAAAUGAAUGCCAUUAAUGUGGUCUUGACUUCAAAGGAUUAAGUACUAUCUAAACAAGUAGUUAAAUUAUUUGUUAGGAAAUUAGACCGCUACUAAUUCCGCCAGGAUCAGUGGGACGCAAAAUAAUUUGAACUGAGAAGAAAUAAAUGUAGCAAUAAUAAGUGCAAGUGACACAAGAAUUUACGUGGUUCGGCAAUCGUGCCUACGUCCACAAACCCACACCAAUUCUUUUACUAUAUCAACAAGAGAAUAAAAGGAAUACAACAAAUACACUCUCUGUAUUUUAUUUGCCUACGCAAAGACAAUCUCUCAAUUUUCUCUCGUUAAUUUUCUACACAAACGAAAGCCUAACUGCUUCUCACUUUGUGUUUUGCUCACUAUCUCUCGUGUUUUCACUCUACACAAUUUUCUUGCACUUCUCUUUUGCUCUCGUU